RNAcentral lists this ribosomal RNA (396 nucleotides) under uncultured prokaryote. RNAcentral describes it as "partial 16S ribosomal RNA". The record is from RNAcentral.
CCCUAUGGGGUGCACCAGGUGUCGGUGUCAAGCCUUGUAUCAAGGGGGAUUAUUUUGUCAGCGACGGAAGUACCGUCCUUGGCGCCGAUGAUGCCGCCGGGCUGGCGGCUGUUUUGGAAGGAGUGACAACGCUCCUGGAAAUGGGAACAUCCCAUCCACCGAUUGAGAUUGUUCUGAGUGUCGCCGAAGAAUUAGGCUUGGUCGGUUCCCGACAUUUCGAUGCUGAUCAGCUUGCGGCGCAUUCAGGAUUUGUUCUCGACGCGCACGGCAGGGUUGGCGAAAUUGUUAUCCAGGCAGCUGAAAAACUGAAAUUCAAGGCGGUGUUUUAUGGUCGGAGUGCCCAUGCCGGUUUUGUGCCGGAGCAGGGAGUGUCGGCGAUUCAGAUGGCGGGGGGGC